UGCAGGGAGACUUUGUUGUAAGUAUGACACCUUUUCUGUGGGGCUGACACGCUGAGCACACUCUCGCUUCACGCCGAUGUCCAUGAGCCUUCUGGCCACACCAGUGGUGAGGUGACAGGAUCUCUGUGCAGGUGUGUUCUGCUGGGAGCUUCUGGCCUCUGAGCCAGGCUGCACUGUGCUUCCUCCACCGUUCUCCUGGCUCCUGGCAGGGCUAUGCUGUUCUUUUCUAAAUAUCUUCUCUGCAGCUGAAGGACUGAGGUUUUUCCUUCUGUACCUCUGCUUACAUUGGAUAAUCCCUGUUGCCAAAUAUGUGUUGUCUCCCCAUCCCAGUGUCCAGGUGAAUGACUGCAAACAGUGACUGUGUGUACCAGGCUGCCUGAGGGGAGGCAGAGCCCUCAGCACCUGCUACAGGCUGAACUCUUCUCCCUUCAGGAGAAGGAGAGGCAGAGGCUGGAGAACCUCCGUAAGAAGCAGGAGGCUGAGGAACAGAGGAAGAAGAAAGUGGAGGAGGAGAAGAGACAGCGUCAGGCAGAAAUGAAGCAGUGAGUUGGGCCCCUUUCCCCCUCCUCUUUCCUUGGUCAGGAAAGGCUUGCCUUGUGCUUCCCACUUGGAAUGAGCACUUUGGGAGCAGGCGGGGCUGACGGGCCCCUCUUGCCCACGCGGUGCCCAGAAAGAGGGAAGAGCGCCUGAGGAAGGCCCUGCAGGCUCGAGAGCGUGCGGAACAGAUGGAGGAAAAGAAGAAAAAGCGGAUGGAGCAGAAGAUUCUGCAAAGUGAUGAGAAGUUGCACAUCUCACAGGUGAAGGAAGAGAAGGUGGCAGAGGAGCGGAGCAAGAGGAAAGGGUCCAAGAAACACGGGGAGGUGGAGGCACGGAAGCAGAAAGCCGUGAAAGGGGAGGAACAUGAGCAGCAAGAACCACUGCAGAAAAGAAGAGAGGAUGAAGUGAAGGAAAGAGGGAAAACAGUUUUGGAACUGAAGAACCUUCUGGAGCAGAAACAGCUGGGACAAGCAAAGGAGAGGUGUGAGCUGAUGCCUGUCCUGGAGCAGGGAAUUGACCACAGCUGGGGAAGCAGUAGAUGUGAUGUAAAUGUGAUGCUGCACCUGGGAUCUGGGGAGGCAGGAGCAGGAGGCUGUGAGAGGGUGAGGGACAGAUAGGCCUGCUUCCCCCUCUGAAUUCUUUCUUUUCCCCC
Molecule: long non-coding RNA, 1189 nt
Filed under: Lonchura striata (white-rumped munia)
Lineage: Eukaryota; Metazoa; Chordata; Aves; Passeriformes; Estrildidae
Description: domestica (Bengalese finch) lncRNA (ENSLSDG00000004257.1)
Source: RNAcentral